RNAcentral lists this ribosomal RNA (395 nucleotides) under uncultured bacterium. RNAcentral's name for it is "partial 16S ribosomal RNA". It matches the Rfam family "Bacterial small subunit ribosomal RNA", at positions 523 to 918 of the family's 1533-position model. The record is from RNAcentral.
AUACGUAGGGUGCAAGCGUUAAUCGGAAUUACUGGGCGUAAAGCGUGCGCAGGCGGUUUUGUAAGACAGUGGUGAAAACCCCGGGCUCAACCGGGGAACCGCCAUUGUGACUGCAAGGCUGGAGGGCGGCAGAGGGGGAUGGAAUUUCCCGUGUAGCAGUGAAAUGCGUAGAUAUGCGGAGGAACACCGAUGGCGAAGGCAAUCCCCUGGGCCUGCACUGACGCUCAUGCACGAAAGCGUGGGGAGCAAACAGGAUUAGAUACCCUGGUAGUCCACGCCCUAAACGAUGUCAACUGGUUGUUGGGGAUUUAUUUUCUCAGUAACGAAGCUAACGCGUGAAGUUGACCGCCUGGGGAGUACGGCCGCAAGGUUAAAACUCAAAUGAAUUGACGGGG